Molecule: non-coding RNA, 1073 nt
Organism: Equus caballus (horse)
Lineage: Eukaryota; Metazoa; Chordata; Mammalia; Perissodactyla; Equidae
Source: RefSeq, a predicted model, not a curated record
UUGCACGCUAUAGACCUCAGAUGAAUCACAGAGAAGCUGUGCUUUUUAACUGUGGCGAAACCAUAGGCAGCUUUUUGUUUCUUCCCAGAAUCAGUUCCAAAGCAGCUGUUAAAUGUUCAUCCUCGGUUUUGCCAUCUUAUUUCAGGGAAUUGUAACAGCAGCAUCUUCUGUUUUUAAUUCUCCUGAAGAAAGAGAAAAAGAGCUCCCCAAGUUGGUGUGCUGCGCGUAGGUGCUGGUUAAUGACUUAUUUCCUCUCAUUUCCUUAAUCAGGAAAUUUCAGAGUUCAGCAGCCGCAGGGUUCCCAUGAACGUGGCUCUGACCUAAGCCAAGCUGUGUGAAACACUCGACCAUGAAAACAGCUUGCUCUGCAAACCUCUGACUGUUCCAAACUGAGGCCGACCAGAAGCUUCCAUUUGACACUGCGGGUCCUAAAAGAACCUAUACAUGUCAUCCUCUAAAUGCUGCUGGAAAGCUGAAAAGAAUCACGUGUUUGGGAGGAAGUAAAUACAACUUUUCAGGAGGAGGCGACUUAGCUGGCCAAGGGGAUUGGUGAGAACGGACACCAAUUAGUCAGUUCUCUAAUCAAUCAGUGUCGUCUAAUUCCAUGCACCUGGAAGUCUCCUUAAUUAGGAACGGAAUAGGAGGGGGCAGAAUCUCAUUUUUACAUGGAGAGAAGGCAGCUGAGAGCUGAUGUUUUGGUCUUGCAUACUGCCACGUUCCUGGCCCGGGGCUGGGGGCUGUCUGAGAUACAAAGAGGAGUAAGACGCAGCCCUGCUCUCAAGGAUCUCUGAAUCUGGUUGAGGACAGUGUGAAUGUUUCACAGAAAAUACCAGGAAGUUAGCUGGAAGAGGACUGCAAAAGGCAGAGCCAUGGAUCCAGGAUUGUGAGAUCCUCGCCUGCAGCCUGACAGCCAAGGGAAAGCAGGAGCAUCCACUGUCAUACAGUGAAGAUGCCAAGCCAUGAAACAGACAGCAAAUGACCUCUCUCCAUCUGUUUGUGAACACGGGGUUGGGCAGAGGGUGCUUAAAAAAUGUAUGCCAUGUGAUGAAAAUAUAUGUCUACACGAAAACUUA